GCCGGGUGUGGUGGUGCACACCUGUAAUCCCACCUACUCGGGAGGCUGAGACAAGAGAAUCACUUGAACCCAGGAGGCAGAGAUUGCAGUGAGCUGAGAUUGUGCCACUGCACUCCAGCCUGAGUGACAGAGUGAGACCCUGUCUCAA
RNAcentral lists this signal recognition particle RNA (148 nucleotides) under Gorilla gorilla gorilla (western lowland gorilla). RNAcentral's name for it is "Metazoan signal recognition particle RNA". It matches the Rfam family "Metazoan signal recognition particle RNA". Rfam says of the family: The signal recognition particle (SRP) is a universally conserved ribonucleoprotein. It is involved in the co-translational targeting of proteins to membranes. Lineage: Eukaryota; Metazoa; Chordata; Mammalia; Primates; Hominidae. The record is from Rfam by way of RNAcentral.